RNAcentral lists this unclassified non-coding RNA (336 nucleotides) under soil metagenome. RNAcentral describes it as "partial contains 5.8S ribosomal RNA, internal transcribed spacer 2, and large subunit ribosomal RNA". The stretch from base 1 to 120 matches the Rfam family "5.8S ribosomal RNA", at positions 35 to 154 of the family's 154-position model. The record is from RNAcentral.
GAUGAAGAACGUAGCGAAAUGCGAUAAGUAAUGUGAAUUGCAGAAUUCAGUGAAUCAUCGAAUCUUUGAACGCACAUUGCGCCCGCCAGUAUUCUGGCGGGCAUGCCUGUUCGAGCGUCAUUUCAACCAUCAAGCCCCCGGGCUUGUGUUGGGGACCUGCGGCUGCCGCAGGCCCUGAAAAGCAGUGGCGGGCUCGCUGUCACACCGAGCGUAGUAGAUUUUAUCUCGCUCUGGGCGUGCUGCGGGUUCCGGCCGUUAAACCACCCUUUUAACCCAAGGUUGACCUCGGAUCAGGUAGGAAGACCCGCUGAACUUAAGCAUAUCAAUAAGCGGGGA